Long non-coding RNA from Armigeres subalbatus, 951 nucleotides. RefSeq lists it as uncharacterized. The record is from RefSeq and is a predicted model, not a curated record. The transcript is spliced from 2 exons. NCBI's taxonomy places the organism in Eukaryota, Metazoa, Arthropoda, Insecta, Diptera, Culicidae.
UCACGCGAAGUGCUGUGGUGCUCGAGGUGGUGCCGUGGUGCUAUUAAUAAUAAGCUUCCUGAUCCCGUGGUUCAAAACCAGUGAAAAAGAAAAUUGCAUCGUCGUCGUUGCUGUUUUAUGGUCGUGGUCAUUGUUUUCGUAAUUUCGUAACAAUUCAUCAGUAGUUAGUGAAAUGGGAAGAUAAAAGUUUGGGUACAGGAGAACCAGGGAGUCUGAAAACUAACAAAGUUGAGUUUUCUCCUGGUUCUCCUGCGUUACAUACUGCUGCCGCGCAACAUGUGUAUAAAGGAAAUAGAAAGGAUUCGCUUCCAACCACAGUGGAAUACGCUUAGAUUUGCUGAUUCAUCGAUAUCGAGAAGUAAUUUUUGCGAAGGUGAAUUCGUACUGCGUACUCCGCGAUCGUCUGAUUCAAUGGUAUGCUGUGUGAAUUCCGAAGAGCAAGGUUUUAUAUAACUUACAAUCUGCGAGAUGGGUGCAUUCCUGGAAUCCUGGAGAAACCGAUGACGGCCAAACACAAGAAGUAUAGCGAAGGCAAAAAACUUGGUUUCAGUGUAGUAUCGCUGGGGUGGCGCUGUGAAAUAUUGAGGCACACUACACCAAAACCUGAUUUGAUUGUAUUCGAAUUAUUUUGACAGACAGACUUGCCGGCAAAGACAAAGUGGACGAUCAUUGUGCAAAUAAUCUGCUUCAGUCGAUCGUUCGAAUACAGGAAUUAAGAUAUAACAAUACGGAAGUAUUCCCGGGUAUUCACUCUGGAUUCCUCAAAUUAGAUGAAUCCAUGCGAGGCAUACCGAGGCUGGCAUAGGGUGUGGAUGAAUCUUGCACCACGGCAGUAUGUGCGUUCAUUUCCAUCCAAAACGUCUAUAUGUACAUAUAUAUACAGGAAAUUGUGAAGCUUCUCAGGUGAAAAGAAGCGAAUCCAGAAUGCUGGAUGAUCCGUCAUGAUCCAAA